CGGGGGAGGCCGGAUCCUGGGCUGUGUCCCGGCGCCCUGUGCUCCGGAGCCUGCGCUGUUGGAUUCGCGCUCCCGGUCGCGCAGCCCCCU
Non-coding RNA from Canis lupus familiaris (dog), 90 nucleotides. The record is from Rfam. NCBI's taxonomy places the organism in Eukaryota, Metazoa, Chordata, Mammalia, Carnivora, Canidae.